This 468-nucleotide ribosomal RNA is filed under the name uncultured bacterium. RNAcentral's name for it is "partial 16S ribosomal RNA". It matches the Rfam family "Bacterial small subunit ribosomal RNA", at positions 28 to 507 of the family's 1533-position model. The record is from RNAcentral.
GACGAACGCUGGCGGCGUGCUUAACACAUGCAAGUCGAACGGAAAGGCCCUGCUUUUGUGGGGUGCUCGAGUGGCGAACGGGUGAGUAACACGUGAGUAACCUGCCCUUGACUUUGGGAUAACUUCAGGAAACUGGGGCUAAUACCGGAUAGGAGCUCCUGCUGCAUGGUGGGGGUUGGAAAGUUUCGGCGGUUGGGGAUGGACUCGCGGCUUAUCAGCUUGUUGGUGGGGUAGUGGCUUACCAAGGCUUUGACGGGUAGCCGGCCUGAGAGGGUGACCGGCCACAUUGGGACGGAGAUACGGCCCAGACUCCUACGGGAGGCAGCAGUGGGGAAUAUUGCACAAUGGGCGGAAGCCUGAUGCAGCAACGCCGCGUGCGGGAUGACGGCCUUCGGGUUGUAAACCGCUUUCGCCUGUGACGAAGCGUGAGUGACGGUAAUGGGUAAAGAAGCACCAGCUAACUACGUG